RNAcentral lists this unclassified non-coding RNA (240 nucleotides) under soil metagenome. Its description in RNAcentral is "partial contains 5.8S ribosomal RNA, internal transcribed spacer 2, and large subunit ribosomal RNA". The record is from RNAcentral.
AACAAGGCGUACCUGCGGACCUGCGGAAGGAUCAUUACAGAGUUCGUGCCCUCGCGGGUAGAUCUCCCACCCUUGUGUAUUCCUUACAUUUUGUUGCUUUGGCAGGCCGUUGGUUCGCCAACCACCGGCUCUACGGGCUGGUGCGUGCCUGCCAGAGGACCCCCCAAACUCGGUUUGUUAGUGUCGUCUGAGUAACCAUAACAAUCGUUAAAACUUUCAACAACGGAUCUCAGAUCGGAA